AGUAAAAUAAGUAACGUUCAAGGGUCAAAAUGAGGAAUUUCUUCCAUUUCCCUCACUAUUAUGCUUUUUGGGAAAUUGUUGGAAAACACACAUUUUUCUCUCAUUCUAUUCUUCCCACAACUAGCUCUGAAGAAUACAACUCGUGCACUAUUCACCAUCUUCCCAAAUUCUCCAAUUUUUAUUCUCUUCCAAAAUUUCCAAAAACACUAGCUCAAUUAACCCCAAUCACAUAUGUUCUAACUUCUUGCAUGCAAGGUUUCACUUCUCAACCCACAAAAAACGAUCAAAUCAUGUUCGGGGUGAAGAAAACAACAACCAGGGGAAAAGGAAAGCUGAAGAGGAAGAAUACUAAGAAGUAGACAACCAUUCUAGUUAACAAAAAAAAAAAAAGAUGAACCAUCUCAUAAAAUUGUCAAGCUAUUUUCAGAGUAUCCAAUGAAGGUAAACUUUUGAGAUCAAGAAUCAAAUUUACCAAGGUUAUCUUUAGUGUUCAACAUAUUACAAGUACAACCAAAUUGUUUAAAGUGAGAGAUGUCAUGCUUUUUAGUUUUCAACAAUUCAUAUGGUGUUUUAUUCAAUAUAUACCUUAUUAAGACUCUAUUUUGAAUAUAACAUGCAGUGUUAAUUGCUUCAUCCCAAAAGUGUUUUGCCACAUUCAUAUCAUUUAACAUGGUUCUAGCCAUUUCUUGGAGUGAUAUAUUGUUUAUUUCUACAACUCCAUUUUGUUGGAGUGUUCUAGGAGAAGAAAAGUUAUGAGAGAUUCCAUUCUCACCAUAAAAACUUCAAAAGAACUUGUUUUCAAUUCUCCUUCAUGAUCACUUCUACUUGUUGCAAUCUUAAGACUCUUUUCAUUCAUUAUUUGUUUGCAAAAUAUGAUAAACACUUUGUGGGAUUCUUUCUUACUUCGUAAAAUUUUUACCCAUGUCCACCUAAUACAAUCAUCUACUAUAACAAAGCCAUAUUUCUUUCCACUUAGAGAGGCUAUUUUCAUUGGCCCAAAGAGAUCUAUAUGUAAGAGUUCAAGGGGCUUUAAGGUAGAGACAAAGUUCUUAGGGGUAAAGGAGUUAUUUGUUUGUUUUCCCUUUUGACAAGUUUCACACAUAAUUUCAGUUUUGUAAUUAAGCUUAGGUAGAUCUCUAAUUGGUUGAAGUGUAUUUAGUUUUGAAAUUAAUCUAAGGUUUGCAUGAUAUAA
Long non-coding RNA from Cicer arietinum (chickpea), 1192 nucleotides. RefSeq lists it as uncharacterized. NCBI's taxonomy places the organism in Eukaryota, Viridiplantae, Streptophyta, Magnoliopsida, Fabales, Fabaceae. The record is from RefSeq and is a predicted model, not a curated record.